GGGGGAUUGGCGCAAUGGUAGCGCGUGGCUCUCCUAUUCUGUGUUCUUCAGUGUAAAGCCAAGGUUGUGGGUUCGAGUCCCAUGUUCCUCG
Molecule: transfer RNA, 91 nt
Filed under: Exophiala dermatitidis
Lineage: Eukaryota; Fungi; Ascomycota; Eurotiomycetes; Chaetothyriales; Herpotrichiellaceae
Also listed under: 1 other name
Description: tRNA-Arg
Rfam family: tRNA
About the family: Transfer RNA (tRNA) molecules are approximately 80 nucleotides in length.
Source: RNAcentral